RNAcentral lists this ribosomal RNA (467 nucleotides) under uncultured bacterium. Its description in RNAcentral is "partial 16S ribosomal RNA". It matches the Rfam family "Bacterial small subunit ribosomal RNA", at positions 29 to 507 of the family's 1533-position model. The record is from RNAcentral.
ACGCACGCUGGCGGCGUGCUUAACACAUGCAAGUCGAACGGAAAGGCCCUGCUUUUGUGGGGUGCUCGAGUGGCGAACGGGUGAGUAACACGUGAGUAACCUGCCCUUGACUUUGGGAUAACUUCAGGAAACUGGGGCUAAUACCGGAUAGGAGCUCCUGCUGCAUGGUGGGGGUUGGAAAGUUUCGGCGGUUGGGGAUGGACUCGCGGCUUAUCAGCUUGUUGGUGGGGUAGUGGCUUACCAAGGCUUUGACGGGUAGCCGGCCUGAGAGGGUGACCGGCCACAUUGGGACUGAGAUACGGCCCAGACUCCUACGGGAGGCAGCAGUGGGGAAUAUUGCACAAUGGGCGGAAGCCUGUUGCAGCAACGCCGCGUGCGGGAUGACGGCCUUCGGGUCGUAAACCGCUUUCGCCUGUGACGAAGCGUGAGUGACGGUAAUGGGUAAAGAAGCACCGGCUAACUACGUG